CCUACGGGGUGCAGCAGUGGGGAAUAUUGGACAAUGGGCGAAAGCCUGAUCCAGCCAUGCCGCGUGUGUGAAGAAGGCCUUCGGGUUGUAAAGCACUUUCAGUGGGGAAGAAAGCCUUGGGGCUAAUACCCUCGAGGAAGGACAUCACCCACAGAAGAAGCACCGGCUAACUCCGUGCCAGCAGCCGCGGUAAUACGGAGGGUGCGAGCGUUAAUCGGAAUUACUGGGCGUAAAGCGCGCGUAGGCGGUCUGAUAAGCCGGUUGUGAAAGCCCCGGGCUCAACCUGGGAACGGCAUCCGGAACUGUCAGGCUAGAGUGCAGGAGAGGAAGGUAGAAUUCCCGGUGUAGCGGUGAAAUGCGUAGAGAUCGGGAGGAAUACCAGAGGCGAAGGCGGCCUUCUGGACUGACACUGACGCUGAGGUGCGAAAGCGUGGGUAGCAAACAGGAUUAGAUACCCUAGUAGUC
This 465-nucleotide ribosomal RNA is filed under the name Vreelandella stevensii. RNAcentral describes it as "partial 16S ribosomal RNA". It matches the Rfam family "Bacterial small subunit ribosomal RNA", at positions 338 to 795 of the family's 1533-position model. Lineage: Bacteria; Pseudomonadati; Pseudomonadota; Gammaproteobacteria; Oceanospirillales; Halomonadaceae. The record is from RNAcentral.